RNAcentral lists this ribosomal RNA (500 nucleotides) under uncultured bacterium. RNAcentral's name for it is "partial 16S ribosomal RNA". It matches the Rfam family "Bacterial small subunit ribosomal RNA", at positions 30 to 523 of the family's 1533-position model. The record is from RNAcentral.
AUUGAACGCUGGCGGCAUGCCUUACACAUGCAAGUCGAACGGCAGCACGGGAGCAAUCCUGGUGGCGAGUGGCGAACGGGUGAGUAAAGUAUCGGAACGUGCCCAGUCGUGGGGGAUAACGUAGCGAAAGUUACGCUAAUACCGCAUACGAUCUAUGGAUGAAAGCGGGGGAUCGCAAGACCUCGCGCGAUUGGAGCGGCCGAUAUCAGAAUAGGUAGUUGGUGGGGUAAAGGCUCACCAAGCCGACGAUCUGUAGCUGGUCUGAGAGGACGACCAGCCACACUGGGACCGAGACACGGCCCAGACUCCUACGGGAGGCAGCAGUGGGGAAUUUUGGACAAUGGGCGAAAGCCUGAUCCAGCCAUGCCGCGUGCAGGAUGAAGGCCUUCGGGUUGUAAACUGCUUUUGUACGGAACGAGAAGGUUUGGCCUAAUAAGCUGAGCUCAUGACGGUACCGUAAGAAUAAGCACCGGCUAACUACGUGCCAGCCGCCGCCGUAA